This 253-nucleotide ribosomal RNA is filed under the name uncultured bacterium. RNAcentral describes it as "partial 16S ribosomal RNA". It matches the Rfam family "Bacterial small subunit ribosomal RNA", at positions 524 to 776 of the family's 1533-position model. The record is from RNAcentral.
GACGAACCGUGCGAACGUUGUUCGGAAUCACUGGGCUUAAAGGGCGCGUAGGCGGGUUGCCAAGUCCGGGGUGAAAGCCUCCAGCUCAACUGGAGAAGUGCCUUGGAUACUGGUGAUCUCGAGGGAGGUAGGGGCAUGCGGAACUUCCGGUGGAGCGGUGAAAUGCGUAGAUAUCGGAAGGAACGCCGGUGGCGAAAGCGGCGUGCUGGACCUCUUCUGACGCUGAGGCGCGAAAGCUAGGGGAGCAAACGGG